Molecule: long non-coding RNA, 1165 nt
Filed under: Equus asinus (donkey)
Lineage: Eukaryota; Metazoa; Chordata; Mammalia; Perissodactyla; Equidae
Description: lncRNA (ENSEASG00005030188.1)
Source: RNAcentral
UUUUCAGCUUCUAUAGUGGAAAGGAGGCCUGGGUGAGGCAGGGGAUUGGAGACGGCUUUGGGGAGCUAACUGGUACACUGGCCGAGUGCCAUCAAUUCUGCACAUUAAUGCAGUAAAUCGAGUUAGAGAAGCCUGUAUUCCAGAAGAAAAUGCUCUAGUCUGAGAUAUCAGUCUGUGUAAAAGCAAUGUACAAGAGUUCCAGUGUUGCCACAUCCUCUCCAACACAUCAUAUUGUUGUUGUUCCUGUUGACUUAUUGUGGUCAUCCUGGUGGUCAGAUUCGAAAACUGAAAAUUAGACAAGGAACCUGAAUUGCAGCGCCAAGAGAGAAGUAUGGAUUCCAGAUGUUGAUUUUGGAAUCAUCAGUAGAGGAUGUUUACUGAAACAUGUGAACGGAAGUGUUUUCUCCAGAAGAGAGAUUAAAGAAUGAAAAUAGAGGUCUAUGGGGAGAGAAUCCUUGAAAGGAAACUGAGAAGUACUGAAGAAAGUUGUAUGUAUGUAGGAGGAAACCCAGAUGAGAGUCGUGUCCGAAAAACUGCGAGAGAAGGAGUUGAGGAAGGGGAGGGAGUGGCCCAUAUGUCACAGGCUGGAGAGAAACCUUCAGAAAUAAAAACUGAAAUGUGGCCCAUGUAUUUCAUGAAUUUAGCAGCUAGGUCUCUGGGUCCGUGGCAGAAGCAGUUUCCUGAACUGGUGGAGACAGUCAGCUUACAAGGCACCAAGGAGUGAACAGAACAUGCAAUGAUAGGAAAUAAGAACCUUUGUUCCUAAGGAUAAAAAGAUAAGGUCGUAUCCAGAGGUGGGACUGUGGAUUGUCAAUGUUGUUGUUUUAAGAAGGCAAAUAUUUGAGUAUGCUUAUGAAAGAAAAGGCUAUUGUGGUGAGGGGGAGGUUGAAAUGGCAGGGUAUGGGAGUGAGAGCCUAACAAUGGAUUUCGUUAUCUACAGUAAAGCUGUGCAUUGUGGUCGGCAGAGCCAUGCCAGCCCAUGAACUGGGAAUUACUGAUCUGAGACAUGAUAAAUAUGGAAGUGCAAAAUAAACAUUUAGAAAUGUUUAUAGCUAUUCGACAGAGUUAUUUGAUACCUUUGAAUCUAAAUAUUUAAAAACUAGGAGCUUGCAUUUUAUACAUCCUUCUUUGGUCAUUGUUGCUUUUCUAGUGGUUCACUUUUAUG